GAUUAACUUAACUGAAUGUGGAACUUUAAUUAUAUCUGCUAAAGUCUCUAUUGCAUAUAAUAGAACAUAAUGAUGAGGUUGAUAAUGCAUCAUAUUUACAGGCUUCACCCGUACUCAAAAGCAGUGCAUUAUACACAAUGGGGUAGAAAUCUCAAGGAUUGUCUUGGAAUUCUGCUUGCCAUGGGCACACAGAAAAUCUCAGCGAUAAAGAGGCUGUUGGAGGUAGAGAGGUUGGUCCACUUGUUCUGUCAUGUAAUAACUCUUAGAUACAGGAAAGACCUUGUAAUUAAACAUUUUCCAUCUGAGAUUAACACAGAAAUCCCUAACCAAUAAUUCAACUUGACAAGAACAGAUUAGAUAUUUUUCCUGUGCUGAGUAUGGAUGUAGAGUUGUGAAAUGGAAGACAAGGGAAAUUUAGAAAGAUGUGGAGAUUCAAAGUGUUCAACCUUGUUGCAUUUGCCACAAUAUUUACAUCCUAUUUCUUGGGAUUAUAUUAUUUCCCCAGCAGUGGUUUCUUCUUACUUUGAGACAUAACUGAAUUGAGUAUCUCGUUUGCACUGCAACUGCAAUUUUGACAGUCCAGUCUUGAUAUUGGUCCUCAGUUUAUCUGCUCUGCCACUUUAGGAGAUAAGGGAUUGGUUCAAAGUUACCACCAAGGCUUUCUCGUUUUUGAUUUAUAUUCUGAGUUGGAAUUUCACAGCCUUUAGUUCCUCUUUUUCGUGUGUAAACUACGUAGGACAUCUAGUAAAAGGUAAUGUAUAUACAAUAUUAAUGAUCACUAUUGUUUUUCAACACCUAAACUACCCACAAAAUUUGUGGUUGAUUAUGUUCCCUGUUACAGGCUGUUGCGGGACCAGCCACUGCCAGGGUCACUUCUGUUCUUGUGUUCAGCUCCAGUCACCCGCACCAGUGACCUCUUCUCUGAAGUAAGUUACAGGAUAUCAAAGGAGGAGAGUGAACAUCAUCCAAGGAUUUGGAGUCCUCUUCUGGGAAAAAGGUCAACAAAGAGUUCUUGAGCAUCUGCCAGACCAAGUACAGUUCUAGACAUCAAAGAACCUACAAUGAAUAAAGCAAGUCUCUUUCUUCAGGAAAAUUACAGCAUAAUGUUGUUGCAAUUAAGUUUUUUUCAUGCAUGUAAAACCCUCGUGCAUACAUUUGGCUGAUACAUACUGAACUCUAAAAACACAUUACUACCCAUUUUAGUAAUUAACAUUUGGCAUUCGCCUUGCCUAUGAGAGUUUAGAAG
Molecule: long non-coding RNA, 1246 nt
Filed under: Homo sapiens (human)
Lineage: Eukaryota; Metazoa; Chordata; Mammalia; Primates; Hominidae
Description: HSALNT0347914
Source: RNAcentral